Molecule: ribosomal RNA, 301 nt
Filed under: uncultured bacterium
Lineage: Bacteria
Description: partial 16S ribosomal RNA
Rfam family: Bacterial small subunit ribosomal RNA
Source: RNAcentral
CAGUCGCCGCGGUAAUACGAAGGGGGCUAGCGUUGCUCGGAAUUACUGGGCGUAAAGGGAGCGUAGGCGGAUCGUUUAGUCAGGGGUGAAAUCCCGGGGCUCAACCUCGGAACUGCCUUUGAUACUGGCGAUCUUGAGUAUGGGAGAGGUGUGUGGAACUCCGAGUGUAGAGGUGAAAUUCGUAGAUAUUCGGAAGAACACCAGUGGCGAAGGCGACACACUGGCCCAUUACUGACGCUGAGGCUCGAAAGCGUGGGGAGCAAACAGGAUUAGAUACCCGCGUAGUCCCUGUCUCUUAUAC